ACGGGAGGCAGCAGUGGGGAAUAUUGGGCAAUGGGCGAAAGCCUGACCCAGCAACGCCGCGUGAAGGAAGAAGAUCUUCGGAUUGUAAACUUCUUUUAUGAGGGACGAAGGAAGUGACGGUACCUCAUGAAUAAGCCACGGCUAACUACGUGCCAGCAGCCGCGGUAAUACGUAGGUGGCAAGCGUUAUCCGGAUUUACUGGGUGUAAAGGGCGCGUAGGCGGGAGAGCAAGUCAGAUGUGAAAUCUGUGGGCUUAACUCACAAACUGCAUUUGAAACUGUUUUUCUUGAGUGCUGGAGAGGUAGAUGGAAUUCCUUGUGUAGCGGUGAAAUGCGUAGAUAUUAGGAGGAACACCAGUGGCGAAGGCGGCCUGCUGGGCUUUAACUGACGCUGAGGCUCGAAAGUGUGGGGAGCAAACAGGAUUAGAUACCCUGGUA
RNAcentral lists this ribosomal RNA (437 nucleotides) under uncultured Oscillospiraceae bacterium. RNAcentral describes it as "bacterial SSU rRNA". It matches the Rfam family "Bacterial small subunit ribosomal RNA", at positions 341 to 792 of the family's 1533-position model. Lineage: Bacteria; Bacillati; Bacillota; Clostridia; Eubacteriales; Oscillospiraceae. The record is from RNAcentral.